Molecule: long non-coding RNA, 1166 nt
Organism: Paramisgurnus dabryanus
Lineage: Eukaryota; Metazoa; Chordata; Actinopteri; Cypriniformes; Cobitidae
Source: RefSeq, a predicted model, not a curated record
CACAGGAUGGCUGCUCCGCCUGAGAUUGCAGAUCCCCUGGACACAUUUAAGUGUCGGAACAUUUUGGGUUUCCAGUGGAGAACAGGAAUGGAAUUCGUGUCGUAGACAAAUCACACACAAUCUGUCGUAACUGUGUGCGUGUGCUUGCGUUCGCGUGUGUGUGUGUGCUUGCGUGUCAGAUCGGGUUAACCGAAGUGAAAUAGAAGAGCGCGAGAUCAUUCUCCAGAACAAAAGUACAAAUGUAACAAGACGUCGUCUGUCUGAGAAAGAGGAUGCAGACAGCAUUUGACCUGCGGCGACAGACCAUAAUGAAGACAUGCCCACCAGUGAAAAACCUCAUGGAACUCUGGCCUGCACUCAAAUAGAGUCUGAGGUGUAUUUAGAGUUCCAACGAAUUACAAUACAGAACCUGCCCAACAUAUUCUGCUCUGAGCUUGACUGACAUCUUCUUUCUGAAAAGAGUCAUCAGUCUAGAAAGACAACCAAAAUUGGGAAGACAUCAAAUGCUUUGACUGAAAUCCUAAGAAUCUACGAUUAACAGGAGGUAUGUGACACAUACACCAAGUGUAUCACUGCUCUUCAUCUCCUUCCAGUCUAUCAACAUGAGGACGUCUCGGGGUUCUUCAGGACCUGCACAGACACAUCUGAUGAGCCAGAGCUUUAAGAUGUUGUAAAGGCCCUCCUUACAGUCAUCAUAGAUGACGACACAAGUCCAGUUCACUUCAAGCCUGAGAAAAUCUGUCAUCAUUGAAAGCGAGAUUUGGUCAACCUCUGCAGAUUUACUGAUGCCUUUCUGGUAAUGUUUGGACUGAUCUAUGCACUACACCUCAGCUAUCCCAGGCGACUGACAACACACUUGAAUUCACUCAAAUGUUACUUUGCCUUAAUGAUGGAAAAGUGUCAUCUAAGUAACAGAGUCUCAAAAAGGACUUGAUGUGUAUGUAGAAAUGUAUCUAAAAAUUUGUUUUCUUCACAAUAUGCACAAUGUGCCUUUGUAUUUUCAAAUGGUAUUUGUGACUUGAAUUGUUGUCUGUGUUGGUCUUUUAAAUUGACACUGCCAUUGUAAAUGGAAAGGGCAAAAAUUUUGUGAAACACAAUGUAAUUCAAACUGUUUAAGUUGUCUGUACUCCAAAAAAUUAAGUUUUGAGCCAUGUGAUUUUGAGUUU